This 805-nucleotide long non-coding RNA is filed under the name Capsicum annuum. Its description in RNAcentral is "long non-coding RNA (CANN_LNC018643)". Lineage: Eukaryota; Viridiplantae; Streptophyta; Magnoliopsida; Solanales; Solanaceae. The record is from RNAcentral.
AUCACAAUCAUUUGUACGAGAGCAAAAGUUGACGAUGAAGUCGGAAAGCCCUGCUACCGACCAUUCGUUAUAAUUAAAUUAAUUUACCUUUUGAAGCCAAUUGAAUUGGGUUAGGGAGGUUUAAAACCCAUUAGGUGCAUAUUUGGAUUGGGAAAAUAGGGACGACUUAUAAAUGCCGUAAAGGCGCGAGAAAUGUGCCUAAAUUUGUGGUGAGGCCGAAAAGUACUACUAUCGGUAAGCCACACGUCAGUAAAUAAUUUCAAAAUAAAUUAAAAGCGGGAGGCAAACAACUUUUAGGUUGACAAAUAUUAUAAAUCCUAAAAAAAAAAAUUUUUUUUAAGCCGGACGUAAGUCAUUAAAGCGACCGUGCUAGAACCACGGGACUCGGGGGGUGCCUAACACCUUCCCCUCGGUCAACAGAAUUCCUUAUCAGGAUUUCUAGUUCGCAGAUCGAAAAAAUAAAAAUUAAAGAGUCAUUUUCUUUUUGAAUAGGGAUUCAAUAAGGUGACUUGGAACACCCAAACUCAAUUCCAAGUGGCGACUCUGUAAAUAAAAUAAUCCCUUUUCAAAACGUCACUUUAAUUGGAAAAACCCAUUUUUCUCCAAAACCAACUCCCUAGCGGGGGGUCGGAUGCGGUGAAAGAGAGGGGUGUGACAAUUCAUUUAUCAAGUGUCCAUACUUAACUAAAAUUCAAAACACAAGUUCACCUUUCAAGUACCUAAACUUAAACAUUUUCAAGUCACUAAUUCAAUUAUCAAGUGACCACACUUAACUAAAACUCAAAACACAAGUUUACCUUUCAAG